RNAcentral lists this ribosomal RNA (582 nucleotides) under Rhodotorula mucilaginosa. Its description in RNAcentral is "eukaryotic LSU rRNA". The stretch from base 143 to 296 matches the Rfam family "5.8S ribosomal RNA". The record is from RNAcentral. Lineage: Eukaryota; Fungi; Basidiomycota; Microbotryomycetes; Sporidiobolales; Sporidiobolaceae.
GUGGAGUCACUUACUUGGAGUCCGAACUCUCACUUUCUAACCCUGUGCACUUGUUUGGGAUAGUAACUCUCGCAAGAGAGCGAACUCCUAUUCACUUAUAAACACAAAGUCUAUGAAUGUAUUAAAUUUUAUAACAAAAUAAAACUUUCAACAACGGAUCUCUUGGCUCUCGCAUCGAUGAAGAACGCAGCGAAAUGCGAUAAGUAAUGUGAAUUGCAGAAUUCAGUGAAUCAUCGAAUCUUUGAACGCACCUUGCGCUCCAUGGUAUUCCGUGGAGCAUGCCUGUUUGAGUGUCAUGAAUACUUCAACCCUCCUCUUUCUUAAUGAUUGAAGAGGUGUUUGGUUUCUGAGCGCUGCUGGCCUUUACGGUCUAGCUCGUUCGUAAUGCAUUAGCAUCCGCAAUCGAACUUCGGAUUGACUUGGCGUAAUAGACUAUUCGCUGAGGAAUUCUAGUCUUCGGAUUAGAGCCGGGUUGGGUUAAAGGAAGCUUCUAAUCAGAAUGUCUACAUUUUAAGAUUAGAUCUCAAAUCAGGUAGGACUACCCGCUGAACUUAAGCAUAUCAAUAAGCGGAGGAAAGGAUC